This 394-nucleotide ribosomal RNA is filed under the name Klebsiella pneumoniae. RNAcentral's name for it is "bacterial SSU rRNA". It matches the Rfam family "Bacterial small subunit ribosomal RNA", at positions 199 to 588 of the family's 1533-position model. The record is from RNAcentral. Lineage: Bacteria; Pseudomonadati; Pseudomonadota; Gammaproteobacteria; Enterobacterales; Enterobacteriaceae.
ACCUUCGGGCCUCAUGCCAUCAGAUGUGCCCAGAUGGGAUUAGCUAGUAGGUGGGGUAACGGCUCACCUAGGCGACGAUCCCUAGCUGGUCUGAGAGGAUGACCAGCCACACUGGAACUGAGACACGGUCCAGACUCCUACGGGAGGCAGCAGUGGGGAAUAUUGCACAAUGGGCGCAAGCCUGAUGCAGCCAUGCCGCGUGUGUGAAGAAGGCCUUCGGGUUGUAAAGCACUUUCAGCGGGGAGGAAGGCGUUAAGGUUAAUAACCUUGGCGAUUGACGUUACCCGCAGAAGAAGCACCGGCUAACUCCGUGCCAGCAGCCGCGGUAAUACGGAGGGUGCAAGCGUUAAUCGGAAUUACUGGGCGUAAAGCGCACGCAGGCGGUCUGUCAAGU